Molecule: ribosomal RNA, 246 nt
Filed under: uncultured Lactobacillus sp.
Lineage: Bacteria; Bacillati; Bacillota; Bacilli; Lactobacillales; Lactobacillaceae
Description: partial 16S ribosomal RNA
Rfam family: Bacterial small subunit ribosomal RNA
Source: RNAcentral
CGUGGGUAACCUGCCCAAGAGAUCGGGAUAACACCUGGAAACAGAUGCUAAUACCGGAUAACAACAGAUGAUGCCUAUCAACUGUUUAAAAGAUGGUUCUGCUAUCACUCUUGGAUGGACCUGCGGUGCAUUAGCUAGUUGGUAGGGUAACGGCCUACCAAGGCGAUGAUGCAUAGCCGAGUUGAGAGACUGAUCGGCCACAUUGGGACUGAGACACGGCCCAAACUCCUAGGGGAGGCAGCAGGU